Molecule: ribosomal RNA, 253 nt
Filed under: uncultured bacterium
Lineage: Bacteria
Description: partial 16S ribosomal RNA
Rfam family: Bacterial small subunit ribosomal RNA
Source: RNAcentral
GACGAACCGAGCGAACGUUAUUCGGAAUCACUGGGCUUAAAGGGCGCGUAGGCGGGCCGUCAAGUCGAGGGUGAAAUCCGGCAGCUUAACUGUCGAAGUGCCUUUGAUACUGAUGAGCUCGAGGGAGGUAGGGGUAUGCGGAACUUCCGGUGGAGCGGUGAAAUGCGUUGAUAUCGGAAGGAACGCCGGUGGCGAAAGCGGCGUACUGGACCUCUUCUGACGCUGAGGCGCGAAAGCUAGGGGAGCAAACGGG